GCAGGACGUGACCUUGCAGUGGCCAAUUCACACCUGCCAACUGUUUGGAAGAAGAUUGCAGACAGCACCAGGUGUGCUGUUUUCGACAGAUUUUAUUGCUGGGUGUGUCGCGGGUGUAUUUUUGGAGGCAUGAUAGCCCACAGUGGCGAUUCUGUAUCAGAGUGGCCUGGGGCUUCCUUAACAGAAGGCGUUUUCCUCCUUUAAGGGUUAUCAGAAGACAGCCCCACUCUAUGUGAAGGUUUCCCCUAUUUGAAAGCCUCUCCGUUCCAAGCCAUAAGGAAGGAGAGCAGGAAGAACUAUUAACCGUCACCACCUAGGCUGCAGACUGAGCGAGCAGGCAAGUUUGCUGCUAUGGCAAAAGGAGCAAAUCUAUUCACUGGUCCCACUUCUUUUUGAACUGCAACCAUUUAACACACAGCUGUGCUCCACAUUAACUGAGCUAAAUAAAUUCCUGGGCAGCAUUAUAGCGCCUGAUCUGCACACCCGGAUUUAUUUUUUAGAGGUAAGCUCCCCUUGAUCAUGAAAUAACUGCCGCCCCCAAAAAAGACCGCUCACAUUGAGAGCUGCAUCCUCUGUCCAGGUUCCCUUUUGCUUCCUGGGCAAUUCACUCCCUAAAGCAGGCAUCCCCAAACUGCCCUGUUUUGGCCUACAACUCCCAUGAUCCCUAGCUAAGAGGACCAGUGGUCAGGGAUGAUGGGAAUUGUAGUCCAAAACAUCUGGAGGGCCGAAGUUUGGGGAUGCCUGCCCUAAAGCCUUAGCUGUGUGGCGCUGCAGCGCCACCGCCACCUUAGGCCAGAGGGGGUACUGCAGCUUUCAUCCCAACAGGGACCAGGUGACCUCAGGAGCAAUCUGGUCUUCUGCAGCUGUCAACUCCAGCCUAACUCCUCAUUCUGAGCAGCUUGUUGCUCUGUCCACUGAAGCCAGCUUGCCCGACUAUAUCACCCUCGGUGGCCCUGGGUUGCAAAACGCUCUUUGCGCUGCAGAAGCCUUUGCACACAAGGGUAUCAGCAGCAGCGAGGGCUGUGGAUAAGGAUUUGUUUGCCCAGAGCUUUGCCGCCACAGAGAAAGUGCUUUCUUGGUAGGUUUGCAGGUGCAAAUAUGAUCCGGCAUGUGGUGGUGAGCUCCGAUGGGAGUCUUGUGCGAAGCCGCUGCCUGCCAGCAGCGCUAUCGGCCCCCAAAUAUGUUCACAGCCGGCUGGCUUUAAAUCAGUAGCACUGCUGCAGAAUGUGCGCAUCUCCCGAGAUUAGCUGCCUUGGAACAUGCAUUUUAAAUCGCCCCACUGACACAGAUAGCAUUGCCAUGGUAAUUAAUGCUAACACUGUGAGGAACGGCACAUUUAAGGUGGCGGUGGGGAGAUUUCCUAUUUUAGAUUCCCUGCUCUUCGGGGGGAUGGCUGAUUUGCUCUCCAUCGACAUGUCACAUGUCACAUUUCACAGCAUCACUGAAGGCUGUAUCAGCAUGAGGAUUCCAGCAACUUCGCUUGGAAAUGAGAACAGGUAAUGCAAUUUAAUUUGUCAGAAUCAUGCACCAUUCCAGAACACUUUUGCUUUCAUCGCUCUUUAUUUUUCUUUUAUUUAUUAGACAGCUCUUGCCUCUGAAUCAGAUUAUCAAAGUGGCUAACAAAUUAAGAUUUUUUUUUUUAAAAAAAGACAUGAUUUAAGACAACAUCGAACCGAUAUACAAAACAACACGAUAAAUAGCCUCUUAAAGCGAUCUCCAGCUUCUGCGAUUGCACGAGGGCUCACAGACUUCCAAGCCUUUCUACGCAGUCUUGCUGAUGAAAAUAAUAGCUGCAGUUACCGAGGCCAUUUACAACAGAAUUUAAAGCAGUAGCAGCAGCAGCAGCAGCAGCAGCAACGUUAAAAACGCCAUGACCAAAUAUUAAAAUGAUGAUUAGAAGUAAAUUUAGACAGUGAUACGGACCAAUUCUAAAAAGAGCAGCAGGAUCAGAAAACUAGAUCCCAUGAGAACAGAGGUGGUUAAUCUUUGGGCCUCCAAGCAUGGCCAAAGGGCAGGGAUAAAUCUGGAAGCCAGAGGUUCCCACACCUGCUUUAGAAGUCCGAGGUAACAGAAAUAUUCAAUGUGAAUCAAAUUCUCAAAUAGGCUUACCAAUUAAGGUUUUAAAAAGAUACAAUAAAACAACAAAUCAGUACACAACAGUAUCACCACAGCAGAUGAUAGGGAAGAAGCCCCCCCUGCCCGAGACACCGGAGGAUCACUACCAAUCAGAGUUUGCAGCUUUGGGUUGGAUGGGCAGAUCGUCGCUGAUGCUGGAAGUUGCUUUGAGCCGUGUUCUGCUUUUUCACCAUUUUAUGCUGUGUACUGAUUUGGUUUUUUUACUAAUUAAGCUGGCAGAGCAGCCAGAGAGAAGCCAGUGCAACUUACAAUCAAGUUUGAGGACACAAUACACGUGCCAGGAGAGGCUCCUCUGUAGCAGACUUGGGGGGACCUUCUUGGUCCAAAGGCCAGAUUUUAUCUCUCCCAUGCCUGUGGGCCAACUUUGAUAGGUGGGAGGGAACACAUGCCUGUCACAUACCUGCCAAGUUGCUGUCAGAGAAAUAAG
Molecule: long non-coding RNA, 2563 nt
Organism: Zootoca vivipara (common lizard)
Lineage: Eukaryota; Metazoa; Chordata; Lepidosauria; Squamata; Lacertidae
Source: RefSeq, a predicted model, not a curated record